RNAcentral lists this ribosomal RNA (453 nucleotides) under uncultured bacterium. Its description in RNAcentral is "bacterial SSU rRNA". It matches the Rfam family "Bacterial small subunit ribosomal RNA", at positions 33 to 507 of the family's 1533-position model. The record is from RNAcentral.
AGGACGACGCUGGCGGCGUGCUUAACACAUGCAAGUCGAACGAAGAUAUGUUGAAAGCUUGCUGAUGCAUAUUUAGUGGCGGACGGGUGAGUAACGCGUGAGGACUUGUCUAGUACAGGGGGACAACAGUUGGAAACGGCUGCUAAUACCCCAUAAGCCUAUGGGUAAAAGGAGCAAUCCGGUACAUGAGAGACUCGCGUCCUAUCAGCUAGUAGGUGGGGUAACGGCCCACCUAGGCGAAGACGGGUAGCCGGCCUGAGAGGGCGAACGGCCACACUGGAACUGAGACACGGUCCAGACUCCUACGGGAGGCAGCAGUGGGGAAUAUUGGGCAAUGGAGGGAACUCUGACCCAGCGACGCCGCGUGAGUGAAGAAAUCCCUCGGGAUGUAAAGCUCUGUUGUGUGGGAAGAUAAUGACGGUACCACACGAGGAAGCCCCGGCAAACUACGUG